RNAcentral lists this long non-coding RNA (1321 nucleotides) under Anser cygnoides (Swan goose). RNAcentral's name for it is "lncRNA (ENSACDG00005018464.1)". Lineage: Eukaryota; Metazoa; Chordata; Aves; Anseriformes; Anatidae. The record is from RNAcentral.
GGCAGCUGGGGGGGGACCUUCCUCGUGGCCCCCCCCCCACCCCCCCUCCAGCCAAUGUGGCCGGCACGGUGGGUGCAGGAUGCGGCCACGGGGAUGGGCACAGCACCAGGACCCUGCCGGGACGGUGGGUGCAGGAUGCGGCCGUGGGCAGGGGGACAGGGACGGCGCAGCACCAGGACCCAGCUCAUCAGGUGGGUGCCGGAUGCGGCCGCAGGGAUGGGGACAGCACCAGGACCCAGGUGCAGCGCAGGAUGUGGCCACGGGGAUGGGGACCAGGACCCUGCCGGGACGGUGGGUGCAGGAUGCGGCCCUGGGGACAGGGACAGGGCAGCACCAGGACCCGGCUCAUCAGGUGGGUGCAGGGUGUGGGGAUGGCACCAGGACCCAGGUGCAGUGCAGGAUGCGGCCCUGGGGACGGGGAUGGGGAUGGCCACCAGGACCCGGCUCAUCAGGUGGGUGCAGGAUGCGGCCACGGGGAUGGAGACGGCACCAGGACCCAGGUGCAGCGCAGGAUGCGGCCAUAGGGAUGGGGACCAGGACCCUGCCGGGACGGUGGGUGCAGGAUGUGGCCAUGGGGAGAGGGAUGGGGACAGCCCCAGGACCCAGGUGAAGUGCAGGAUGCGGCCACGGGGACAGGGAUGGCCGCUGGGACCCAGCUCAUCAGGUGGGUGCAGGAUGCGGCCGCAGGGAUGUGCACCGUGCCCCAGGUGGUGAAGGGCAGGAUGCGGGCACUGGGAUCGGCACCGGACCCAGGUGCAGUGCAGGAUGCGGCCAUGGGGAGGGGGACGGGGACAGCACCAGGACCCGGCUCAUCAGGUGGCUGUAGGGUGCAGGGACGGCACCAGGACCCAGGUGCAGUGCAGGAUGUGGGCACCAGGACCCAGCUCACCAGGUGGGAGCAGGAUGCGGCCGCAGGGAUGCGCACCGUGCCCCAGCCGGUGACGUGCAGGAUGUGGGUACGGGGAUGGGCACCGCUGUGGUCAGCGCAACGGGCGCAGGACGUGGACACGGGCACAGGGAUGGGCACCAGGACCCAGCUCGUCAGGUGGGUGCAGGAUGCGGCCCUGGGGACAGGGACAGCCACCAGGACCCAGGUGAAGUGCAGGGUGCGGGCACAGGGCUGGGGACCACAACCCGACCAGGGUGCUGGGUGCAGGAUGCAGGUACAGGGACGGGCACCAGGACCCGGCUCACCAGGUGGGUACAGGAUGCGGCCCGGGGGGGCACCCACCACGACGACCCUGGCAGGACGCGGGCAUGGGGCCGCCCCCGCGGUGCGCCCGGCACGGUGGGUGCAGGAUGCGGGCAGGGGCCCCCCCCC